UAACUGUGAUCAUGCUGUGACCCCAUUGAUGGUCAGGGCUCAUUUGGCUGAUCUGGAUCUCGAGGGUGGUGUCUCCCUCCUCCCUCACCACUCCAUCUGAAUUCCUCCUGAAGCAAUGUGUUCACGCUUGGCCAAGGACGACAACCGAUUGGGUAUAGGAAUAGCUGUGCGCCCCUGCUAGAACCUCUUAAGCUCUCAGUGCAUCAAUUUCCCGGUUUCCCCUGAACACGCCAGAGGCACUGCUUCAGCUGAUAGUUUUCUUUCU
This 265-nucleotide small nuclear RNA is filed under the name Erinaceus europaeus (western European hedgehog). Its description in RNAcentral is "7SK RNA". It matches the Rfam family "7SK RNA". From Rfam's summary of the family: 7SK was discovered as an abundant small nuclear RNA in the mid-70s but a possible function has only recently been suggested. Two independent studies have found that 7SK RNA binds the CDK9/cyclin T complex (known as elongation factor P-TEFb). P-TEFb activates transcription by phosphorylating the C-terminal domain of RNA polymerase II. Lineage: Eukaryota; Metazoa; Chordata; Mammalia; Eulipotyphla; Erinaceidae. The record is from Rfam by way of RNAcentral.